This 328-nucleotide ribosomal RNA is filed under the name uncultured eukaryote. RNAcentral describes it as "partial 18S ribosomal RNA". It matches the Rfam family "Eukaryotic small subunit ribosomal RNA", at positions 1470 to 1796 of the family's 1831-position model. The record is from RNAcentral.
CCCUUAGACGUUCUGGGCCGCACGCGCGCUACACUGACCAGUGCAACAAGCAUCCGUCCUUGGCCGACAGGCUCGGGCAAUCUUUGAACGCUGGUCGUGAUGGGGAUAGACUUUUGCAAUUUUUGGUCUUCAACGAGGAAUGCCUAGUAAGCGCAAGUCAUCAGCUUGCGUUGAUUACGUCCCUGCCCUUUGUACACACCGCCCGUCGCUCCUACCGAUUGAAUGGUCCGGUGAAGCGUUCGGACCGUGGCCUUUGGACGGUUCGCCGUCUGUUGGCUGCGGGAAGUUCGUUAAACCUUAUCAUUUAGAGGAAGGAGAAGUCGUAACA